This 777-nucleotide long non-coding RNA is filed under the name Equus caballus (horse). Its description in RNAcentral is "lncRNA (ENSECAG00000055306.1)". The record is from RNAcentral. Lineage: Eukaryota; Metazoa; Chordata; Mammalia; Perissodactyla; Equidae.
AGUCUCUGGCCUCCACUCAGAGAUGGAGGCUGGGGCUUGCUCUCUUCACAGUCUUGUAUCCGGCCAUUCUCUUAGGAGGAUUUCCGGCUGACUGAUGGCAGUGAUAAGAACGCUGCUUCUGGAAUGUUGCAGCCACCUGAAAUGGACUGCCCGUGCACUGUGUGGUUUUGGUUGGGGCAAUUAAAAGAAUAUUGACCUGGAACUUUAUCAAGCCUUCAGAACAGUCAAAAUUUCUGCAAAUCUGCAUACAUCAAAAUGAGCUACAAACUAAAGAAGCGUUAUUUCCCCCAUAAAGAUCUGUUAUUUGUUAAUUCAAAUACUUUCAGUUACCCAAGGAUAACAGCCGUCCAGAAGCAAAUGAGCCUCCUUCUGCCAUAUCCUGUCCUCAGAAAGUCGACAGUAGCAUAAUGCUGCAUCAUGAUGCCUACAUCAUUCACUUCUCUUCACCUCCUCACAUAGGCAUUGUAUCAUUGCACAUCAUCAGAGAAGAAAGGGCCAAGAAAGUGGGACAUAAAAGAAGACCAUUCUCCAAAGACUACUGUAAUCAGAACAUCCACCCUCUCUGUAGGCCCAGGAACGAGGAGGCCGGCUGUCCUCAGGCUGCUUUGCCCCAGGACUCACAGUCGGAUCAUCUAGACGUUGAGGUCCGAGCCCUGAGCACCUGCCUGCCUGGAAUGAGCUGGGUCUUCCAGUGGGCCAGAGAACCCUGCAGUGUCAGCGCCGAGGCCCUCUAACUGAUGAGAAGACUUGUACAAGCUUAGACAGUAAGCAGAAUGA